GAAAAUUCACGGCGCGGCGGUCAGGGAGCUCGACCGGGCGAGCAGCAGGGAGCAAGGCGAGCUUGGAAUGGUGAGCAGAGCGCGCGCAGGGGCAAGCUUGGCAGAGCGCGAGCGAGCAGGGAGAUGCCAUGGCGUGGAGCAACAGAGAGAAACGCCGGGGAGGAGAGAGAUCCGCGCGAGAGAGAAACGCGCAGGAGAAAAAUCUGGGAGCGCAGGAGCUGGAACAGGAAGCAGGGAGAUGAAGCCGAGGAGGAUCCUGCGCGCAGGGAGGAGGAAUCGGUGGUCGGGCGACCGAGCGCCAUGGGGGACGCGGUCAAGCAGAGGGAGAAGGAGAGGGCCGCAAGAGAGAAGCAGGAGAGGGAGUUGCGGCGCAGUCCGGCGAGCCGCUCGGCAGUGUAGGGAACCGGACACAGCGCUGGAGGUUGAAGAAGGCUGCGUGCGUAUAAAAAGAACAGCGGGCGGCGGCUAAAAAAACCCCAGAGGGCGGUUAGGCGGCUGGAGAGGAGGAAAUGAUGGGCGAACAGGGAGGGCGGUCAAGCGCUGCUGGGGAAGACGAUGGGAACUGGGCGACGACCACCGGAUAAGGACCCUGUGCGCAUAGGAGAUAAGGAGGACGAGGGAACGGCGGCCUGAUUUUUCUUUCUUCAGAAGCAGAGCGGCGGCGGGAUAAGGCUGGAGAA
This 680-nucleotide unclassified non-coding RNA is filed under the name Zea mays. Its description in RNAcentral is "misc RNA Zm00001eb017390". Lineage: Eukaryota; Viridiplantae; Streptophyta; Magnoliopsida; Poales; Poaceae. The record is from RNAcentral.